CCCUAGCCCCGAUUGCAGCAAUUGUUUGAGCUCAUUUUCUAUUUUUGGCUGCGGCGGCAAAGCCGCCACAGCCAAAAAUAGAAAAUAGCGAGUGCGGAAAGCGGGAAUAGCU
This 112-nucleotide unclassified non-coding RNA is filed under the name Chryseobacterium oranimense. RNAcentral describes it as "Flavo-1 RNA". Lineage: Bacteria; Pseudomonadati; Bacteroidota; Flavobacteriia; Flavobacteriales; Weeksellaceae. The record is from RNAcentral.